AGCGGUAACACAAGGGAGCUUGCUCCUGAGGUGACGAGCGGCGGACGGGUGAGUAAUGCCUAGGGAUCUGCCCAGUCGAGGGGGAUAACAGUUGGAAACGACUGCUAAUACCGCAUACGCCCUACGGGGGAAAGGAGGGGACCUUCGGGCCUUCCGCGAUUGGAUGAACCUAGGUGGGAUUAGCUAGUUGGUGAGGUAAUGGCUCACCAAGGCGACGAUCCCUAGCUGUUCUGAGAGGAUGAUCAGCCACACUGGGACUGAGACACGGCCCAGACUCCUACGGGAGGCAGCAGUGGGGAAUAUUGCACAAUGGGGGAAACCCUGAUGCAGCCAUGCCGCGUGUGUGAAGAAGGCCUUCGGGUUGUAAAGCACUUUCAGUAGGGAGGAAAGGUGGUGUGUUAAUAACCCAUUACUGUGACGUUACCUACAGAAGAAGGACCGGCUAACUCCGUGCCAGCAGCCGCGGUAAUACGGAGGGUCCGAGCGUUAAUCGGAAUUACUGGGCGUAAAGCGUGCGCAGGCGGUUUGUUAAGCCAGAUGUGAAAU
This 546-nucleotide ribosomal RNA is filed under the name Alteromonadales bacterium HD-O-03-12. Its description in RNAcentral is "bacterial SSU rRNA". It matches the Rfam family "Bacterial small subunit ribosomal RNA", at positions 65 to 600 of the family's 1533-position model. Lineage: Bacteria; Pseudomonadati; Pseudomonadota; Gammaproteobacteria; Alteromonadales. The record is from RNAcentral.